UACGGGGGGGGCAAGCGUUGUUCGGAAUUACUGGGCGUAAAGGGCUCGUAGGCGGCCAACUAAGUCAGACGUGAAAUCCCCGGGCUCAACCCGGGAACUGCGUCCGAUACUGGAAGGCUUGAAUCCGGGAGAGGGAUGCGGAAUUCCAGGUGUAGCGGUGAAAUGCGUAGAUAUCUGGAGGAAUACCGGUGGCGAAGGCGGGUCUCUGGGCCGAUACUGACGCUGAGGAGCGAAAGCGUGGGGAGCGAACAGG
RNAcentral lists this ribosomal RNA (253 nucleotides) under uncultured bacterium. Its description in RNAcentral is "partial 16S ribosomal RNA". It matches the Rfam family "Bacterial small subunit ribosomal RNA", at positions 524 to 776 of the family's 1533-position model. The record is from RNAcentral.